Molecule: ribosomal RNA, 308 nt
Filed under: uncultured bacterium
Lineage: Bacteria
Description: bacterial SSU rRNA
Rfam family: Bacterial small subunit ribosomal RNA
Source: RNAcentral
UUGGAAACUGAUUUACUUGAGUGCGAUAGAGGCAAGUGGAACUCCAUGUGUAGCGGUGAAAUGCGUAGAUAUGUGGAAGAACACCAGUGGCGAAAGCGGCUUGCUGGAUCGUAACUGACGUUGAGGCUCGAAAGUAUGGGUAGCAAACGGGAUUAGAUACCCCGGUAGUCCAUACCGUAAACGAUGGGUGCUAGGUGUUAAGAGGUUUCCGCCUCCUAGUGACGUAGCAAACGCAUUAAGCACCCCGCCUGAGGAGUACGGCCGCAAGGCUAAAACUUAAAGGAAUUGACGGGGACCCGCACAAGCGG